GGGCCCGCACAAGCGGUGGAGCAUGUGGUUUAAUUCGAUGAUACGCGAGGAACCUUACCAGGGCUUAAAUGUAGUGGGACAGGUCUAGAGAUAGACCCUUCUUCGGACUCAUUACAAGGUGCUGCAUGGUUGUCGUCAGCUCGUGCCGUGAGGUGUCAGGUUAAGUCCUAUAACGAGCGCAACCCCUAUCGUUAGUUGCCAGCGAGUAAUGUCGGGAACUCUAACGAAACUGCCAGUGCAAACUGUGAGGAAGGUGGGGAUGACGUCAAAUCAUCACGGCCCUUACGUCCUGGGCUACACACGUGCUACAAUGGCCGGUACAGAGAGCAGCCACUUCGCAAGAAGGAGCGAAUCUAUUAAAACCCUAUCUCAGUUCGGAUCGGAGUCUGCAACUCGACUCCGUGAAGUUGGAAUCGCUAGUAA
This 423-nucleotide ribosomal RNA is filed under the name uncultured bacterium. Its description in RNAcentral is "bacterial SSU rRNA". It matches the Rfam family "Bacterial small subunit ribosomal RNA", at positions 917 to 1341 of the family's 1533-position model. The record is from RNAcentral.